Molecule: ribosomal RNA, 440 nt
Filed under: uncultured bacterium
Lineage: Bacteria
Description: partial 16S ribosomal RNA
Rfam family: Bacterial small subunit ribosomal RNA
Source: RNAcentral
UCUACGGGAGGCAGCAGUAGGGAAUUUUGCGCAAUGGGCGAAAGCCUGACGCAGCAACACCGCGUGAAUGUUAAGCCCUUCGGGGUGUAAAGGUCUGUCAAUCGGGACGAAUUUUGACUGUACCUGUAAAGGCAGCACCGGCUAACUCCGUGCCAGCAGCCGCGGUAAUACGGGGGGUGCAAGCGUUGGCCGGAUUCAUUGGGCGUAAAGCGUUCGUAGGCGGCAAGGUAAGUCUGACGUUAAAGCCGGGGGCUCAACCCCGGUUCGGCAUUGGAUACUAUCUGGCUAGAAUGUAGUAGAGGUAAGUGGAAUUCCUGGUGUAGCGGUGAAAUGCGUAGAUAUCAGGAGGAACAUCGGUGGCGAAAGCGCUUUACUGGACCAUUAUUGACGCUGAGGAACGAAAGCCAGGGGAGCAAAUGGGAUUAGAUGCCCGAGUAGUC